RNAcentral lists this ribosomal RNA (1373 nucleotides) under Paenibacillus xylanilyticus. RNAcentral's name for it is "partial 23S ribosomal RNA". It matches the Rfam family "Bacterial large subunit ribosomal RNA", at positions 1551 to 2925 of the family's 2925-position model. Lineage: Bacteria; Bacillati; Bacillota; Bacilli; Caryophanales; Paenibacillaceae. The record is from RNAcentral. RNAcentral also lists the same sequence under 1 other name.
UAAGGCUGAGCUGUGAUGGGGAGUGAAAAUUACAGUAGCGAAGGUCAUGAUCUCACACUGCCAAGAAAAGCCUCUAGCCAGGUGAUGGUGCCCGUACCGCAAACCGACACAGGUAGGCGAGAAGAGAAUUCUAAGGCGCGCGGAAGAACUCUCGUUAAGGAACUCGGCAAAAUGACCCCGUAACUUCGGGAGAAGGGGUGCCCCGGUAGUGUGAAUAGCACGAGGGGGCCGCAGUGAAAAGGCCCAAGCGACUGUUUAGCAAAAACACAGGUCUGUGCGAAGCCGUAAGGCGAAGUAUACGGGCUGACGCCUGCCCGGUGCUGGAAGGUUAAGGGGAGCGGUUAGGGAGUAAUCCCGAAGCUGUGAACCGAAGCCCCAGUAAACGGCGGCCGUAACUAUAACGGUCCUAAGGUAGCGAAAUUCCUUGUCAGGUAAAUUCUGACCCGCACGAAUGGCGUAACGACUUGGGCGCUGUCUCAACGAGAGAUCCGGUGAAAUUUUAAUACCUGUGAAGAUGCAGGUUACCCGCGACAAGACGGAAAGACCCCAUGGAGCUUUACUGCAGCUUGAUAUUGAAUUUGGGUACGAUCUGUACAGGAUAGGUGGGAGCCUUUGAAGCAUGAGCGCCAGCUUGUGUGGAGGCACCGUUGGGAUACCACCCUGAUCGUAUCUAGGUUCUAACCUGGUACCGUAAACCGGUGCGGGGACAGUGUCAGGUGGGCAGUUUGACUGGGGCGGUCGCCUCCUAAAGAGUAACGGAGGCGCCCAAAGGUUCCCUCAGAAUGGUUGGAAAUCAUUCGAAGAGUGCAAAGGCAUAAGGGAGCUUGACUGCGAGACCUACAAGUCGAGCAGGGACGAAAGUCGGGCUUAGUGAUCCGGUGGUACCGCAUGGAAGGGCCAUCGCUCAACGGAUAAAAGCUACCCUGGGGAUAACAGGCUUAUCUCCCCCAAGAGUCCACAUCGACGGGGAGGUUUGGCACCUCGAUGUCGGCUCAUCGCAUCCUGGGGCUGAAGUAGGUCCCAAGGGUUGGGCUGUUCGCCCAUUAAAGCGGUACGCGAGCUGGGUUCAGAACGUCGUGAGACAGUUCGGUCCCUAUCUGUCGUGGGCGUAGGAAAUUUGAGAGGAGCUGUCCUUAGUACGAGAGGACCGGGAUGGACGUACCGCUGGUGUACCAGUUGUUCCGCCAGGAGCACCGCUGGGUAGCUAUGUACGGACGGGAUAAGCGCUGAAAGCAUCUAAGCGUGAAGCCCCCCUCAAGAUGAGAUUUCCCAGUAUGUAAGACCCCUUGAAGACGACGAGGUAGAUAGGCUGGGGGUGGAAGUGCAGCAAUGCAUGGAGCUGACCAGUACUAAUCGGUCGAGGGCUUAUCCAA